RNAcentral lists this ribosomal RNA (433 nucleotides) under uncultured Desulfosporosinus sp. RNAcentral describes it as "bacterial SSU rRNA". It matches the Rfam family "Bacterial small subunit ribosomal RNA", at positions 23 to 433 of the family's 1533-position model. Lineage: Bacteria; Bacillati; Bacillota; Clostridia; Eubacteriales; Desulfitobacteriaceae. The record is from RNAcentral.
CUCAGGACGAACGCUGGCGGCGUGCCUAACACAUGCAAGUCGAACGGAGAAUUAUGCUAAGUUUACUUAGAGAAAUUUUUAGUGGCGGACGGGUGAGUAACGCGUGGGUAACCUACCCAUAAAGUCGGGACAACCCUUGGAAACGAGGGCUAAUACCGAAUAAUCUUAGUUCGUGGCAUCACGAAUUAAGAAAAGGUGGCCUCUGAAAAUGCUACCGAUUAUGGAUGGACCCGCGUCUGAUUAGCUAGUUGGUGGGGUAAAGGCCUACCAAGGCGACGAUCAGUAGCCGGCCUGAGAGGGUGAACGGCCACACUGGGACUGAGACACGGCCCAGACUCCUACGGGAGGCAGCAGUGGGGAAUCUUCCGCAAUGGACGAAAGUCUGACGGAGCAACGCCGCGUGUAUGAUGAAGGUCUUCGGAUUGUAAAGUAC